CCGUCGCUACUACCGAUUGAAUGGUUUAGCAAGGUCAUCGGAUUGGGCAACUAUGGCUGCUUGUCGGCCUUGUUUGCACUGAAAAGACGACCGAGCUUGAUCAUUUAGAGGAAGUAAAAGUCGUAACAAGGUUUCCGUAGGUGAACCUUCGGAAGGAUCAU
Molecule: ribosomal RNA, 161 nt
Filed under: Macvicaria dubia
Lineage: Eukaryota; Metazoa; Platyhelminthes; Trematoda; Plagiorchiida; Opecoelidae
Description: partial 18S ribosomal RNA
Rfam family: Eukaryotic small subunit ribosomal RNA
Source: RNAcentral